Molecule: ribosomal RNA, 253 nt
Filed under: uncultured bacterium
Lineage: Bacteria
Description: partial 16S ribosomal RNA
Rfam family: Bacterial small subunit ribosomal RNA
Source: RNAcentral
UACGGAGGGCGCAAGCGUUGUUCGGAAUCACUGGGCGUAAAGCGCGUGUAGGCGGCUUGGUAAGUCGGGUGUGAAAGCCCGGGGCCUAACCCCGGAACUGCACUCGAAACUGCCUCGCUCGAGUCCCGGAGAGGAUGGUGGAAUUCCCGGUGUAGUGGUGAAAUACGUAGAUAUCGGGAGGAACACCAGCGGCGAAGGCGGCCAUCUGGACGGUGACUGACGCUGAGACGAGAAAGCGUGGGGAGCAAACAGG